RNAcentral lists this ribosomal RNA (484 nucleotides) under uncultured bacterium. RNAcentral's name for it is "partial 16S ribosomal RNA". It matches the Rfam family "Bacterial small subunit ribosomal RNA", at positions 30 to 507 of the family's 1533-position model. The record is from RNAcentral.
AUUGAACGCUGGCGGCAGGCCUAACACAUGCAAGUCGAGCGGAUGAAGGGAGCUUGCUCCUGGAUUCAGCGGCGGACGGGUGAGUAAUGCCUAGGAAUCUGCCUGGUAGUGGGGGAUAACGUCCGGAAACGGGCGCUAAUACCGCAUACGUCCUGAGGGAGAAAGUGGGGGAUCUUCGGACCUCACGCUAUCAGAUGAGCCUAGGUCGGAUUAGCUAGUUGGUGGGGUAAAGGCCUACCAAGGCGACGAUCCGUAACUGGCCUGAGAGGAUGAUCAGUCACACUGGAACUGAGACACGGUCCAGACUCCUACGGGAGGCAGCAGUGGGGAAUAUUGGACAAUGGGCGAAAGCCUGAUCCAGCCAUGCCGCGUGUGUGAAGAAGGUCUUCGGAUUGUAAAGCACUUUAAGUUGGGAGGAAGGGCAGUAAGUUAAUACCUUGCUGCUUUGACGUUACCAACAGAAUAAGCACCGGCUAACUUCGUG